Tetranychus urticae (two-spotted spider mite) is the source of this 1686-nucleotide long non-coding RNA. RefSeq lists it as uncharacterized. NCBI's taxonomy places the organism in Eukaryota, Metazoa, Arthropoda, Arachnida, Trombidiformes, Tetranychidae. The record is from RefSeq and is a predicted model, not a curated record.
UGUAAAAAUUAACGGCAAACUUGAGACUGGUUAAUGGUUAAAAUGUAACCAAAUAAAUAGACGGGAUUAAGUCUUAAUCUAGAUAUACUCUUUUGAUCCUGAUAGGAAUGAUCAAAAUUACUGCUACUAAUUAUCCGAUCUUUCAACUCUUUCUUUUACGCGCCUCACUCUAGAUCUUAUUGUAUUUUAUUUUCCUCUAAUUGUUUAAUUAUUGAAUUUAUUUGUUUUUAAUUUAUUUAGCUUCAAUGUAAUUAUAUUUUGAUUGAAUUCAGUGUUCCACAAUACCUUUUUAGAAAUGCUUAUUGAAAGUAGAUAUUGAAAAGAGCAACCCUUCACAGUGAAGCAAGAUAGCCUAAAUCAUCCAGGCCCAAUCGGUACUUGAGAUCAAGACUGUGAGCUUGGGUAAAGUUGCUGUGGAAGUGGAAAUCGAGGUGAUGUGUUGGACCGAAAUGUAUUCCAGCUCAAUAACGACUGGAGCUGUUUUAUAGUCUAACGAGUCAAGUCCAACUAGACCUUUGAAGCAAUCGAAUCUGAGCGUUCAAUUAUUGUCACUGUUGGUAAAAGUGUCGAUACUAUUGAUGUCAACAUUAAUAUCGCAACACUACUUGCCUCUUGUCUUAACUGUUGAUUGUUUUUUAUCGAUAUGACCAUGUUUAACGUCAUUAUUGAUUGUGAUAUUAAUACUUGAUUCAGUGUUUAUACUUGUCGGCUGAUUAGUUAGCAUUUAUAAUUAAUUCAAAUGUAAAAUAACCGAUCGUUUGAUUGAGAUGAAACUGGUAAUUAAAGUUAAUUGGAUUCUGGCUAAAUCAAGCACCAAUGCAAUUGGAUAUGGCUAUUGCUGAAAUUUCUGGUAAUUGGUGAAAUCGUCAGCUGACUUGACUUUCGCUCUCAAAUGUCUAUAUGAUUGAUUGGUGACUUUGUUACUGUUAAUUACCUAGUUAAUGAUUGACGAUUUCCCUAAGCACUUUAAACGACAUUGCAAAUCUCAUCUCGAAAAUUUAGCAGAUUCUAAACGCCAGAUUUCAUUUUGAUACUUAAGGAAUAGUAACUGCUAAUCUUGGAAAUUAUCUCAUAGCUAACGAACACUCAUUGGAUAGACUGAACAAGUGCUGUUAAAGCUUUUGGUGUUGAUAUUGGUUUAAAUAGCAAUCAUCUGCACACCAAUUUCGUGAUACCGCUAACACUUAACACCGUUAAUACAACUAAUUUAAUGUUGGUUAAAAUUGGAUAAUAUGAAAGCAAAGGGUUUUCGUAUUAAAAGUGAAUCGUUUUUUGAUUAAAAUUGGAUUGAAGGAUCAAACCUCUGAACAAUCAGGAGAUUAUUAUGCAAUGAGCUGCAUCUUUAUCAAUGGGUACAAUUAGUGUUUGAUCGCGUCAUUCAAGUGGCUUCAAGGGAUAAUUGUUAUUCAUUGGUAGGAAAAAUACAAUUGGAAAGUCCAUCCACUUAUCAUGCAAGGAAAUCAGUGAGAUCACCAUUCAAGUUCAUGCUGAACAUUUUUUUGGAUUCCCUGUCAACAGCGUUUGGUAGAGCAGCUGAUAAUUAUAUUUUGGCCAUUGAUUGAUACAUUGAAUCAAAAUGAUCUCUCUCCCUCUUCUUGAUUGAUGAUCUCGUUUGAUUAAAGCUAAUGAAGUAAUUAACUUUGUUGAAACUGGUUUCAAGUGAUUAAAACAAAUGGAAAUACUUAA